RNAcentral lists this ribosomal RNA (440 nucleotides) under uncultured bacterium. RNAcentral's name for it is "partial 16S ribosomal RNA". It matches the Rfam family "Bacterial small subunit ribosomal RNA", at positions 338 to 795 of the family's 1533-position model. The record is from RNAcentral.
CCUACGGGGGGCAGCAGUGGGGAAUAUUGCACAAUGGGGGAAACCCUGAUGCAGCAACGCCGCGUGAGUGAGGAAGUAUUUCGGUAUGUAAAGCUCUAUCAGCAGGGAAUAGAAAAGAAGGUACCUGAAAAAGAAGCCCCGGCAAACUACGUGCCAGCAGCCGCGGUAAUACGUAGGGGGCUAGCGUUAUCCGGAAUUACUGGGCGUAAGGGGUGCGUAGGUGGUUUCUUAAGUCAGUGGUGAAAGGCUACGGCUCAACCGUAGUAAGCCUUUGAAACUGGGAAACUUGAGUGCAGGAGAGGAGAGUGGAAUUCCUAGUGUAGCGGUGAAAUGCGUAGAUAUUAGGAGGAACACCAGUUGCGAAGGCGGCUCUCUGGACUGUAACUGACACUGAGGCACGAAAGCGUGGGGAGCAAACAGGAUUAGAUACCCGGGUAGUC